AUUGAACGCUGGCGGCAGGCCUAACACAUGCAAGUCGAGCGAGCGGCGGACGGGGGAGUAAUGUCUGGGAAACUGCCUGAUGGAGGGGGAUAACUACUGGAAACGGUAGCUAAUACCGCAUACCAUCAGAUGUGCCCAGAUGGGAUUAGCUAGUAGGUGGGGUAACGGCUCACCUAGGCGACGAUCCCUAGCUGGUCUGAGAGGAUGACCAGCCCCACUGGCACUUAGACACGGUCCAGCGUCCUCCGGAAGGCAGCAGUGGUGAAUAUUGCACACUGGGCGCAAGCCUUAUGCAGCCAUGCCGCGUGUGUUAAGAAGGCCUUCGGGUUGUAAAGCACUUUCAGCGGGGAUGCGUUACCCGCAGAAGGAGCACCGGCUAACUCCGUGCCAGCAGCCGCGGUAAUUC
Molecule: ribosomal RNA, 406 nt
Filed under: uncultured bacterium
Lineage: Bacteria
Description: partial 16S ribosomal RNA
Rfam family: Bacterial small subunit ribosomal RNA
Source: RNAcentral